ACGGAAGGCAGCAGUGGGGGAUAUUGCACAAUGGGGGAAACCCUGAUGCAGCGACGCCGCGUGAGUGAUGAAGUAUUUCGGUAUGUAAAGCUCUAUCAGCAGGGAAGAAAAUGACGGUACCUGACUAAGAAGCUCCGGCUAAAUACGUGCCAGCAGCCGCGGUAAUACGUAUGGAGCAAGCGUUAUCCGGAUUUACUGGGUGUAAAGGGAGCGUAGACGGCGUGGCAAGUCUGAUGUGAAAGCUAUGGGCUCAACCCAUAAACUGCAUUGGAAACUGUCAUGCUAGAGUGUCGGAGAGGUAAGCGGAAUUCCUAGUGUAGCGGUGAAAUGCGUAGAUAUUAGGAGGAACACCAGUGGCGAAGGCGGCUUACUGGACGAUAACUGACGUUGAGGCUCGAAAGCGUGGGGAGCGAACAGGAUUAGAUACCCUGGUA
This 434-nucleotide ribosomal RNA is filed under the name uncultured bacterium. Its description in RNAcentral is "partial 16S ribosomal RNA". It matches the Rfam family "Bacterial small subunit ribosomal RNA", at positions 341 to 792 of the family's 1533-position model. The record is from RNAcentral.